ACACUUCUCGGAUGGAGAAAUAAAAAUCUAUAUGCGAUUGAUUUCAAGUGGGUACUACUGUCCUAUUAGUCUAUAUACACCUCACCUAAUAGUUAUUGGUGAGUACAAACCAAUGAGUGGAUAACACUUUAUCCAUUGCUUUACUAAGCAAGAUGCAGUAGGCUUGGUCUCUAAGUCUUGUGGCCUCACCUAAUAGUUAUUAGAACAUUUCUUAGUUAAGUUAGACCCAUCAUUCACCAGC
RNAcentral lists this long non-coding RNA (241 nucleotides) under Elaeis guineensis (African oil palm). RNAcentral's name for it is "long non-coding RNA (EGUI_LNC020020)". The record is from RNAcentral. Lineage: Eukaryota; Viridiplantae; Streptophyta; Magnoliopsida; Arecales; Arecaceae.